This 932-nucleotide long non-coding RNA is filed under the name Gossypium barbadense (sea-island cotton). RNAcentral describes it as "long non-coding RNA (GBAR_LNC002703)". Lineage: Eukaryota; Viridiplantae; Streptophyta; Magnoliopsida; Malvales; Malvaceae. The record is from RNAcentral.
AAAAACAAAAUGAAAAGGAAAAAAAAAACCUAAACUAUCUCUUGACCCUCUCCCCUACUCGGCCGACCAAUAACCCUCUGCCCCGCCACCAUACGCCACCGUGACCGGCGAUUGGCGACGAGCGAAGCCCAUUUUAACCUAUUUGAAACCACGUGUAGGGGGCUUGGCCAUUUUCAACCCCGAAAUCCCAUCUUGAACUUCAAUUUUGACGAAGAAGAUGAGGACUCCAAAGGCACAUCCCUUAUUUCCCUUUUUAUUUUCACAUGCAAAAGAAUCAGAAUGAAUAACCAAAGAAAAAAAAAAGAAAGAAAAACAAUCAGAAAAGAAAACAAAAUCUGAAAUCACCUUCAAAAUGAUUCUGAUAUUUGAUUGUCUUUGUAUUUGUAUCUAUUCGUAAAAAAUGUUCGCCUGUACACUCUUUUCUCUGGCUUUUUAUAGCCGAAUAAAACAAAAUGAAAUUACAAAAACUAUUUUUUUCUUCUUUUUUUUUUGUUAUUUCUCUACUGUAUUUCUUGCUGUUAUUUGCUGUGUUGUCGUUAUUUGGUUUCUUCUCGCAGGUUCGGCAUCGUACAAAGAGGACCUCGAAUGUGGCAAUGACGAGGCCGUUCGUGGGAGCUGCAUCAUGGGGAAACCUAGGGUUUCCAGAAGCUUCAACUUGCCCGGGCCAUUUGGGCCAGUUUUGAGAUUGGACCAUUGGGCCCGUAAAUUAGGUUUAGCUUGGGUUUUAAUUUGGGUCUUAUUGUAAAAUGGGUUCUAAAGUUUGGGCUAUAAAUUGUAUUUGGGCUAAUAAAGACUGUAUUUGGACUUUAAACAUUGGUUUUUUUAUUUAUUUUAUUCUAUUUAUUAUUUUUUUGGAUAAUUUAUGGGCCCGGUCGAAAUGGGCCUAUUACAAUAAUCAUUAACAUUAUCGAAUUGUUAUAUUUUUAUCUUUC